UUGGUAUUUAAACUUUAGGCAUCCAAUAUAAGCCUAUUAGAAACUAAUUUCACAGGAAAAAUUUGGUUCUGAAAUUAUGGUUGUCCAAACACAUCAUUCAGUUGAAGGCUUAAAGCUUAAUUAAUGCAUCCAACUUUGAUACCACAUCAGCAAAAUCCAUGGUUAAGUAUGGCUAAAUUGCAUCCUUAAACAUGAUUAGGUAUAUAGAUAAAUUUGUAACCCAAGUCUACCCAAUAAUUUCUUCUAUUGGUAAAGGGGUAAAAAACAGCAGCAAUAAGUCACCAUUUAGCAUAUUAAGGAACUAAAAUGUACGUCAAAUUUGUUCUUCUCCACCCUUCAUCAAGCCAUGGAGUAAUAUCAUCUCCAUCUUUGAAUGGAUUCCUCAGAAAUUUUUUUUGAGGUACGUUUUCCUCAGAAGUUCAGCUCGGUUGAAAGACCCUUCAAUUUAAAGUAAAAUUUAUCAAUAAUAUAUAUUAUUAAUUUAUCACAUAACAAAUCUCCUUUUAGUUUCUAUACAAAGAUAGAAAUCCAAUCGUAAUCCUGCUUGGAAACAUAAAAUUAAGUGUAUGUCAUAACAAGCGACACAAAGCUAAAGCACAUGUAAUCACAGUAUAGAGAAAACAACAUACAGAAAAAUUACGUGUUUUGACUAUGAUAAAUAAAACAGUAAAGAACAGUUACAAUUCUCAAAAAUCAAUACUAAGUGGAUUGUAAUUUCAGUAAAAUAUUGUCGUAUCCGUGAUUACAAGCAAACUUUAAACUUCAGGAACAUUAAAAAACAAAAAAGAAGACAACAAAGAAAUUAAGCAUUUAAGGAGUACCUUCUUUUUCAUAGUCGAAUUCAUCAAGCUUUGUUUUGUGGGCAGAGCAACGAAAGGUGAUAAUCGAUUUUAAAGAAAAGGAACAAAUUUAUCGGCCUAUCAAACUGAAUGGCAAUAAAUUU
RNAcentral lists this unclassified non-coding RNA (943 nucleotides) under Hevea brasiliensis (rubber tree). The record is from RNAcentral. Lineage: Eukaryota; Viridiplantae; Streptophyta; Magnoliopsida; Malpighiales; Euphorbiaceae.